Molecule: ribosomal RNA, 104 nt
Filed under: Cephalotus follicularis
Lineage: Eukaryota; Viridiplantae; Streptophyta; Magnoliopsida; Oxalidales; Cephalotaceae
Source: RNAcentral
AGGUGCGAUCAUACCGGCACUAAUGCACUGGAUCCCAUCAGAAGUCCGAAGUUAAGCGUGCUUGGGCGAGAAUAAUACUAAGAUGGGCCUUGUCAUAGGACUUU